UCAGGCCUAACACAUGCAAGUCGAGCGGUAACAUUUCUAGCUUGCUAGAAGAUGACGAGCGGCGGACGGGUGAGUAACGCGUAGGAAUCUGCCCAGUAGUGGGGGACAACAGUUGGAAACGACUGCUAAUACCGCAUACGCCCUACGGGGGAAAGGGGGCUUCGGCUCUCGCUAUUGGAUGAGCCUGCGUGAGAUUAGCUGGUUGGUGAGGUAAUGGCUCACCAAGGCGACGAUCUCUAGCUGGUUUGAGAGGAUAAUCAGCCACACUGGAACUGAGACACGGUCCAGACUCCUACGGGAGGCAGCAGUGAGGAAUAUUGCACAAUGGGCGCAAGCCUGAUGCAGCCAUGCCGCGUGUGUGAAGAAGGCCUUCGGGUUGUAAAGCACUUUCAGCAGUGAGGAAAGGUUGUUGGUUAAUACCCAGCAACUGUGACGUUAACGACAGAAGAAGCACCGGCUAACUCCGUGCCAGCAGCCGCGGUAAUACGGAGGGUGCGAGCGUUAAUCGGAAUCACUGGGCGUAAAGCGCAUGCAGGCGGUUUGCUAAGCGAGAUGUGAAAGCCCCGGGCUUAACCUGGGAACUGCAUUUCGAACUGGCAAACUAGAGUCUUGUAGAGGGGGGUAGAAUUUCAGGUGUAGCGGUGAAAUGCGUAGAGAUCUGAAGGAAUACCAGUGGCGAAGGCGGCCCCCUGGACAAAGA
Molecule: ribosomal RNA, 700 nt
Filed under: uncultured Gammaproteobacteria bacterium
Lineage: Bacteria; Pseudomonadati; Pseudomonadota; Gammaproteobacteria
Description: bacterial SSU rRNA
Rfam family: Bacterial small subunit ribosomal RNA
Source: RNAcentral